This 1440-nucleotide long non-coding RNA is filed under the name Triticum aestivum (bread wheat). Its description in RNAcentral is "long non-coding RNA (TAES_LNC004172)". The record is from RNAcentral. Lineage: Eukaryota; Viridiplantae; Streptophyta; Magnoliopsida; Poales; Poaceae.
GCCUCCUCAUUGUUCUUCUUGUCAAACUACUAUUAAAUGUAAGUGGAAACUGAUGAUUUGUAUCCUUUAUACUGAAGAUUAUUUCUUGUUUAUUUUCUUAAACUGCAAAGGCCUUAUCUUGUGUGUGUUAAUAUGUCACCUUGGAUAUUAAUUUUGGUAUAGGUUUGUUGUGCAGUGCUUGCGGUCAUCGUGCUCCUUGCCGGACUGGUUGCGCUGGUAGUUGUUGUUGCUGCCGUCGCUCGCGUCGGUGUACUGGUCGCGCUGGUAGUUAUUGUUGUUGCUACUGCCGUCGUGCGGCUCGCCGGACCGCGGCUGGUGGUGGUUCUGCACUGCGUUUGACGUCGGCGGGCGCUGCAGGUUCUUGACGUAUGUUGUCGUGAUGUUUGAUUAAGGUCUUCUGUGAAUCUGUACCAAAACCAUGCUUGUAAUUUGUUGUUCCCUUUCUCUAAUCUGGGACAGACGCAGUUAUUCUGGUGGGAGCCGUGGCUAUGUGAUUCUGGCCGGCGUGCAUGCAUAGUCGGAGGACGCCGAGUCUUUCUUGAUGCCGGCGACAUCAGCUCAUGUCAGCAUGAGGUCUGCACGCUUACCUUGCCUUUCUCUCCUAUUGCUGAAUCUAAUGUUCAUGCUCAUGUUCUUUUGGUCUUGCUAAUGUUCUUGGCGCAACUGAUUUCUAAACAAUUGAGUGUUUUCCCAAUAAUUAUUAGAAAAAUUGUAGAGCCAAACUCUAGUAUUGUAGUAUGAUUCUGCCUAUUGUGCUCGCCUUGUACAUAUUUGCCGAAAAUAGCAUGUACAUAAAGGAAACUACAUGAAGAAAGUUAACUGUCUGUUUUGAACAUUGGUACAUUCAGACCCUUAAUCUAAUAAUAUCCUUCUUAUCCUGGUCAAUAUCAAAUACUCUUACUUAUCUUGGUCGAUAUAAAUAAAUUGCCGUACUAUUUAUUUCAUAAGCUACUGAUCAACUAAUUAUCUAGAUGACUAAGAACAUUGGUAACAUUCACACCCUUAAUAUAAUAAGUAUCCUUCUUAUCCUGAUCGAUAUCAAGUACUCUUACUUAUCAUGGUUAAUAAAAAUAUAUUGUCGUACUAUUUAUUUCAUAAGCUACAGAUUCACUAAUUAUCUAGAUAACAUCCUUGUUCUCCUGGGCUUUGCUUUCCAUACUUCAUCUUCAUCUUCAAGCAUUGUAUUUUUGGCUUUUGCCUUAACACGUUUCUUGUUCCCGCAGGCAGCUUUGUCCUUUUGUUCAAGCAUAUUCGUCUCAAUGCAUUCAUCCUCUGAGCUAUCUGAUAUUGCAACAGAUCUAAGUCUCCUUUUAUUGCCACUUCGGAGCACAUGUGAUGAUGAUGAUACUUUGUCUUGACGCUUAUCUUUGUUUCAUGUAGUCCCAUUGCUAUCAUUUGGCUCCUCUUUCACAGGCACCCGUUCGCAUGAAAGUUCGCCAG